AAGCUCAAUACUUAGCUAGCAUGUCAUGUAUAGUUAAUUUUGAGAAAACGGUUCACACUUUUAGAAAGGUACACGACCCUUCGACUUCUCUUCACUGUUCCAGUUAAUGAAUCUAUGGUCCCAAUACAACUACAACCGUCACCUCUCUAUCUUCAUCCCGCCCCUUCCUUAUCUCCUCUCUUUUCUUUUUUUUUCGCUCUUUUCUAUCAACAUCAAUUUUCUCUCUCACCUUUUUCUGUGCACCAUGGUAUCCCCCUCUAUCUCGCUCGAACUAAUGCUUACUCCUAUUA
Molecule: long non-coding RNA, 290 nt
Filed under: Ananas comosus (pineapple)
Lineage: Eukaryota; Viridiplantae; Streptophyta; Magnoliopsida; Poales; Bromeliaceae
Description: long non-coding RNA (ACOM_LNC007318)
Source: RNAcentral